AACGAACGCUGGCGGCAUGCCUAACACAUGCAAGUCGAACGAGACCUUCGGGUCUAGUUGCGCACGGGUGCGUAACGCGUGGGAAUCUGCCCUUGGGUUCGGAAUAACAGUUAGAAACGACUGCUAAUACCGGAUGAUGACGUAAGUCCAAAGAUUUAUCGCCCAAGGAUGAGCCCGCGUAGGAUUAGCUAGUUGGUGAGGUAAAGGCUCACCAAGGCGACGAUCCUUAGCUGGUCUGAGAGGAUGAUCAGCCACACUGGGACUGAGACACGGCCCAGAAUCCUACGGGAGGCAGGAGUGGGGAAUAUUGGAAAAUGGGCGAAAGCCUGAUCCAGCAAUGCCGCGUGAGUGAUGAAGGCCUUAGGGUUGUAAAGCUCUUUUACCCGGGAUGAUAAUGACAGUACCGGGAGAAUAAGCUCCGGCUAACUCCGUG
RNAcentral lists this ribosomal RNA (433 nucleotides) under uncultured bacterium. RNAcentral describes it as "partial 16S ribosomal RNA". It matches the Rfam family "Bacterial small subunit ribosomal RNA", at positions 29 to 507 of the family's 1533-position model. The record is from RNAcentral.